Cherax quadricarinatus is the source of this 6868-nucleotide non-coding RNA. Lineage: Eukaryota; Metazoa; Arthropoda; Malacostraca; Decapoda; Parastacidae. The record is from RefSeq and is a predicted model, not a curated record.
CAAUUUAAGUUAUAGCACAGUCUUUCCUGUACUGAAGAGGUACACAGUUCAGGAGCCAGUUUCUGGACCAGGCCUGCAGCCUGUCCAGAUCCCUUUGUAGUUUUGCCUGGUCCUUGUCCAAUUGAAUUAUUCUUAUCAACUUCACAUCAUCUGCAAACAGGGAUACUUCUGAGUCUAUUCCUUCCGUCGUGUCAUUCACAUAUACAUAUACCAGAAACAGCACUGGUCCUAGGACUGAACCCUAUGGAACCCCGCUUGCCACAGGCACCCACUCUGACACCUCAUCACGUACCAUGACUCACUGAUGUCUGCACGACAGGCAAUCCCUGAUCCAUUGCAGUGCCUUCCCUGUUAUACCUGCAUAGCCUCCAUCUUAUGUACUAAUCUCUUAUGUGGACCUGUGUCAAAGGCCUUCUUACAGUCCAAGAAAGUGCAAUCUACCCACCCCUCUUUGUCUUGUUUUCCUGCUGUCACCCUGUCAUAUAACUCCAGUUGGUUUGUGACACAGGAUUUCCCAUCCCUGAAACCAUGCUGGUUGUCACUGAUAAGCUCAUUUCUUUCUAGGUGCUCCACCACUCUUCUUCUGAUAAUCUUCUCCAUGACUUUGUAUAUUAUACAUGUCAGUGACACUGGUCUGUAGUUUAAUACUUCGUGUCUGUCUACUUUUUUUAAAGAUUGGGACUACAUUUGCUGUCUUCCAUAGCUCAGGUAGUUGCCCUGUUUCGAUACAUGUGUUGAAGAUUGUUGUUAGUGGCACACAUAGCACCUCUGCUCCCUCUCUCAGGACCCAUGGAGAGAUGUCAUCCACUAAUAUAAAUAUAUGGAUUAAUUAUAAUAAUAAUGUAAUACUACUAUCUUUAUUUCUACAAGUACAUGUACAAGGUAUACAGGCCUAGUUGACAUCAAUGACAUACUACUAUAUAGAAAGCUGCUUGUUAUGCUGAGCAUUUUGGGCAAAUUAGGUCAGUUUUGUCCCAGGAUGCAACCUACACAGUCCACUAGCACCCAGAUAUGAUUAUUAUUAAAGCUAAAAAUGUAUUAUGUAGCUUAACAUUCUUUUACGUAACCAAACCUAACCUAAUCAUCCCUAAUUAAAACUAAACUAACUUUACCAAAUCUAGUUUAUCGUAAUCUGACCUAACUCACCCUCUUGUACAUUUUAAUAAAUAUUUUAAUUAAAUGGACUUUUAAUGUUGAUUUGUUUGUAUUGGGAGAGAAAUUACCAAGAGUGAAAUUGAGUGAGGUUAAAAUGCACCGGGAGUCAAAAUAUGAGUCAAAAUAUCGGGAAUCAAAAUACCGGGAGUCAAAACACCUGGAGUCAGAAUACCAGGAGUCAAAAUAUCGGGAGUCAAAAUACCUGGAGUCAAAAUAUCAGGAGUCAAAAUACCGGGAAUCAAAACACUUGGACACUUGGAAUCAAAAUACAGUGGACCCUCGAGCUUCAGCGGCAUCGAUUUUCGUGAAAUCCGACUUUCGGCAAGUUUUUUAGGCAAAAUUUGGCCUCGCGGUUCAUGAUUAGACUUGUGAUUCGGCGACCGUCCAGUACCCGUCUGCCCAUCACCACGCACAUGAAGCCAGUCUCCCACGCCAUUCACGCUCAGUGUGCCAUUGUUUACCAACACGUGACCAUCACCCCGCGGGUUCAUACGUAAUAAUCCACUGUUUUUUGUGAUUGUAACUGCUAAAUAAGUCACCAUGGGCCCAAGGAAAGCUAGUGCAAGCCCUUUGGUAAAAAAAGUGAGGAACACGAUCGAAUUCAAGAAGGAAAUCAUUGAAAAAUAUGCCAGCUGUGGAAUCUAUUGUGGCAUUGGGGAUGUCCCUGGGGUUGGAGGUGAGUGGUGAGGAUGUGGAAGAGUUGGUGGAGGACCACAGGGAAGAGCUAACCACUAAAGAGCUGCAAGAGCUUCAUCUGCAACAGCAAGAGAUCACAGCUCAGGAAACUGCUGCAGAGGAGGAAGAGGAAGAGAGAUGGAGGAAGAGGAAGAGAGAUGGAGGAAGGUGCCUUCUUCAAAGAUUAAGGACAUUUGUGCAAAGUGGACUGAAGUGCAAACAUUUAUGGAUGAACUUCACCCUAACAAAGCUGUUGCAGGCCAUAUUGGCAACAUGUACAAUGACAGUGUUGUGUCCCACUUCAGACAAAUCUUAAAGAAACGCCAGAAACAGAGCUCUCUGGACAGAUAUUUUGUGCGACAAGGUUCCAGUGACUCUCAAGUUGUUCCCAGUGCCAGUGUCUUUAAAAAACAAAGAAGGGAAGUAACCCCAGAUAAGGACUUCAUACCUGAAGUCCUAAUGGAAGGAGAUUCUAGUUCCAAACAAUAGUGUACACCUUCCUCCUAUCCCCUCCUCCCAUCUUCCAUCCACCCAGAAGUCUUCAGUAAAGGUAAGUGUAAUGUUAUCUUUUAUAUGCAUGUACUUAAUUUCUCAUUGUUUUCAUGUAUGUAAAUCUUUAUUUAAUUUGAAAAAAAUAUUUUAUUUUAAUAUUUUUGGGUGUCUGGAACGGAUUAAUUUUAUUUCCAUUAUUUCUUAUGGGGAAAAUGGUUUUGCCGUUCGGCAAUUUCGACUUUCAGCAGGCUCUCUGGAACGGAUUAAUCACGAAACUCGGGAGUCCACUGUAUAGGGAGUCAAAAUACCAAGAGUCAUAAUACUGGGAGUCAAAAUAUCGGGAGUCAAUAAAUAAAAAAAAAUGGCACAAUACCUUGACUGGAACAAUACACAAAUUACCCGCAUAUAGGAGAGAGGAGCUUAUGACGAUGUUGUGGUCCAAGUUGGACUGAAAUGUCGUCGUAAGCUCCUCUCUCCUAUGUACGGAUUACAGUAUUUGUGUAUCGGGAGCCAGAAUACCAGGAGCCAAAAUAUAGGGAGCAAAAACACCGGGAGUCAAAAUACCAAGAGUCAUACCGGGAGUCAAAACAUCAAUAGUAAAAAUAUAGAGAAUCAAAAUAUUGGGAGUCAAAAUACCGGGAGUAAAAAUGCCGGGAGUCAAAAUACUGGAAGUCAAAAUAUUGGGAGUCAAAAUACCAAGAUUCAAAAUAUCAGGGGUCAAAAUACUGGGAGUCAAAAUACCGUGAGUUAAAAUACUGAGAAUCAGAAUUCCGGGACUCAAAAUACCGGUGACCAAGAGAGAGCUGUGAAACAUAAGGUCUUUCAACCAGUAUAAGAAACAGGCAAGAAAUCAACAUGCAAGUGUAAAAGAAAGACAAAGAACUUUUAAAAUUAAGUAGAAAAGAACAUGGCAUAAACAUCAUGGAGCCUCGGCUUAUGAGUGCCCCACCAUACGAAUUUUUCAGGAUACGAGUAGUUGCUCUGUCGAUUUUUUGUUUCUGGAUACAAGCAAAAAUUCAGGAUGCGAGCUUCCCGCUCCAACAAUUUUUUUUUUAGACUCCCAGAUCUUACAAAAAUAAAAAUGAAUAUAUAAUUGCAGUUCAUUGUUGUGAUGUAUUAUGUUGUUUUUACUGCUUAAGACUAUAACUGCAACAGAAAUAAUAGUAUUUCUUACCUUAAAUUGUGGGACCUGGUGUUUGUGGAUGAUUGUGGAAGAGAGUGGAGAGUUAUGCUGUGACCCUACUGGGCUGAGGUGAUGGUAGAGGUUCUGGUACUGAAGUCGAUGGUUGUACUGGAGUGUGCAUAAAUUCUGUAAUGGAUUUCUGUUCUAUUUUCCCCUGCAGUACAUUAUACAACUGACGGUAAAACAUCAGCUGCUCUAUACACCAUUUCAGGGUCCUCUUCAGUGAAAAAGGCAAGAACGACAAUUGUUGUUCUUGAAAGCAUGAUAUUCAGCGCAUUCCUCCUACACCCACUGAGCAUCUGGGUUCCCAUUCUGUAUUUCUGACCAAUCACAAGCCUUCCCUGAGUCGCUCCAGCUAAGUGGUGAUGGCUUCUGCUAGCUUCCCAUUGGUUGAGAGACCAAAAUGUAAACACUUCUAGCUUGGCGUCUCCGAGAGACGUUUUUUUCAUCGAGUGACACUCGUAUACCCUUGGAUUUUACCCUCUACAAUGUUGGUAAGUACUCAUUUGUGUUUCUAGUGUGUAAAUGAAAAUUUAGGCAUACAGUGGACCCCCGCUUUACGAUCAGCUCCCAAUGCGACCAAUUAUGUAAGUGUAUUUAUGUAAGUGCAUUUGUACGUGUAUGUUUGGGGGUCUGAAAUGGACUAAUCUAAUUCACAAUAUUCCUUAUGAGAACAAAUUCGUUCAGUACUGGCACCUGAACAUACUUCUGGAAUGAAAUAAUAUCGUAAACCGAGGGGCCACUGUAUUUUGAUAUAUAUAUGAAGUCUGUGUGAAGCAUAAUGUGAGUGCACCAUGCAAAGGAAAAAAGCGCAACAAAAAAAGACCAAAAAAUAUCGUUCUUGCCUAUUUUGGCCCAAUUUUAAUUUUCAGUAAAUAAAUAUUUAUAAAAAAAAAUUUUAAUGCAUAUAUCAAUUCUGUAGUGGCCUGGGUGUGUACAGAACGUUUUUAUUGUCCUUCCAGAUCAAUCAGAAAUUGUUUUAUGGUGAGUCCUCCAAAGACAAGUCCAAAUAUCUCUGCAUUUUGGAGGAAGGUGACUCUGAUGCAGAGGCAGAUGAUCUGGAAUUGCUUGACAGUGAUGAUGAGUACUUGCCACAGGAUGCAGAGGUGUCAACUGAUGAAGAGGAGGAAGCUAGACCAUCCAAAAAGCCAAAAUUAGACAAGAAAAAGAAAGGUAUUGUGAUCGAGGAGUACCCUGACGAAGAUCUUCAUGAUGAGCUUUCUUCUCAAACUCAGACCAACUGGAAUAGGGUUGACAUCCACAAUGACCCUUUGCCUGUUUACCUGGAGAGAGUUCUGGGGGUCAACGCCCCCGUGGCCCGGUCUGUGACCAGGCCUCUUGGUGGAUCAGAGCCUGAUCAACCAGGCUGUUGCUGCUGGCUGCACGCAAACCAAUGUACGAGCCACAGCCCGGCUGGUCAGGAACCGACUUUAGGUGCUUGUCCAGUGCCAGCUUGAAGACUGCCAGGGGUCUGUUGGUAAUCCCCCUUAUGUAUGCUGGGAGGCAGUUGAACAGUCUCGGGCCCCUGACACUUAUUGUAUGGUCUCUUAACGUGCUAGUGACACCCCUGCUUUUCAUUGGGGGGAUGUUGCAUUGUCUGCCAAGUCUUUUGCUUUCGUAGUGAGUGAACAUGAAAAACCUCUUGCAGUUAGGUGUGCAUAUGACUAUUUUAGCAAUUUUUUUACUCAAGACAUGAUAGACCAUAUCACAUUCCAAACUAAUUUGUAUGCCAGGCAAAAAACAUACACAGCACUUUUCAAACCAAUUCUGAAAAAAUCACGAGGUUCAUAGGUAUUCUGUUGUAUAUGGGUAUGAUUUCAAACCCAUGCAUUCAGGACUAUUGGGCAGCUGCAACUAAGGCAAUCCAGGUUUCAGAAGUCAUGGGAACUAAGAGGUUUUGUUACUUAGGCAUAUCAUUCAUUUCAAUGAUAACACACAACAGAAGAAUAAUGACAGAUUCCACAAAAUAAGGCCUCUUUACAUUGCACUAACUAAUGCUUGCUUGAAAGUUCCAGCUACACCCAAGCAAUCUAUUGAUGAAGUUAUGGUUGGUUUCAAAGGUAAAACCGCUGGAAACCUAAGGCAGUACAUCAAAACCAAACCAGACAAGUGGGGUUUUAAAACUAUUUUGUCAUGCAAGUGAAGAUGGAAUCAUACACGAUAUACCUAUGUAUGAAGGCAAAACAACUUUUGACAACCAUCCCAUAAAGCUGUCACAUGAAGAUAGUAAACUACCAAUAAGUUCGAAGAUUGUUCUGGUGCUUGCAACAACUCUCAACCAAAGAAAUACAUCAGCAAUCUAUGCUGACAAUUUCUUUUCAAGUCUUCCUUUGCUCAAGUUGCUAAGAGAAAAAUAUAACUGCAGAUACACUGGAACAGUACGUGAAAAUAGAUGAGGUAAGCCAGAACUGAUGCCUGUCAAACAAAUGGAGAAGAACAUAGUGCCCAGGGAGACUUUUGAUUACAAAACCAAUGAUGGUAUCCUUGUUGUAAGAUGGAAGGACAAUAAAGUUGUGACUUUAGUGACAAAUGAUGUGGGGGUUAAUCCUGUGACUCCUAUUGAAAGAUAUAACAAGGAUAAAAAGAUGAAAAACGAGUUCCAGUGCCCUGCAGUCAUCAAGAACUAUAAUGCACACAUGGGAGGUAUUGACAAAAGUAACAUGUUGGUGCAUCUGUACAAAACACCUAUGAAAUGAAAUCUAAACGUUGGUACAUGCGGCUGUUUGCCUAUGUUCUGGAUCUUGCUGUUGUGAAUGCAUGGCUUCUUUACUGUCGUGAUUGUCGGUCACUAAAUACCAAAUGCAUGCCACUGAGGCUAUUCAAGCUUGACAUCUCUAUCACUGCAAGAUCCGAAGGACAAACGUUGAGACGCAGCAUCAUAAGAACAAAUUCAAGAAGUUCAACAGCUUCAUCAAGUACUUCCAAUGGUGACAGUAAUGAUGAUUUGCCAUCCUUGCAAUUGCCAUCUACAAUGCAGUACCAAUGUGCAGAAAGGCCAGAUGACAGUGUGAGGUUUGACACAACCCUGUGUCAGGCAAGCUACUUACAUGCAAGUUUUGCAGCACACACAAACAGCAUGUCACAUCCUCAUUUUCCUGUGCCAUAUGCAAAGUAAAUCUAUGUAUCAAGUAGGAUAGAAAUUGCUUCAUAAAGUUUCAUUGUAAAAAUUAGUGAUCUAGAACGACUGUUCUUUCUCAGGAAACUCAGGAAUGUGGGUAUUGAAAGUUAUAUCCCUUUGCAAUGUGUCCAUGUUGCUACUUGGUUCAUUUUUGUAUUAUUUUAAUACUUACAAAAUGUUGGAAAACAAGUUCAAUUUAUGUUUUUGAUAUUGUCUUUUUGUCUAAUAAAAUUAAAAAAUAGUUA